GUGGAUUAGAUACCCUGGUAGUCCUAGCCGUAAACGAUGGGCACUAGGUGUGGGGGGUUAUCAACUCCCUCCGUGCCGCAGCUAACGCAUUAAGUGCCCCGCCUGGGGAGUACGGCCGCAAGGCUAAAACUCAAAGGAAUUGACGGGGGCCCGCACAAGCAGCGGAGCAUGUGGCUUAAUUCGACGCAACGCGAAGAACCUUACCAGGGCUUGACAUGCAGAUGAAGCGGCGGAAACGCCGUGGCCGAAAGGAGUCUGCGCAGGUGGUGCACGGCUGUCGUCAACU
RNAcentral lists this ribosomal RNA (286 nucleotides) under uncultured bacterium. RNAcentral's name for it is "partial 16S ribosomal RNA". It matches the Rfam family "Bacterial small subunit ribosomal RNA", at positions 773 to 1060 of the family's 1533-position model. The record is from RNAcentral.